RNAcentral lists this ribosomal RNA (253 nucleotides) under uncultured bacterium. Its description in RNAcentral is "partial 16S ribosomal RNA". It matches the Rfam family "Bacterial small subunit ribosomal RNA", at positions 524 to 776 of the family's 1533-position model. The record is from RNAcentral.
UACGUAGGGUGCGAGCGUUAAUCGGAAUUACUGGGCGUAAAGCGGGCGCAGACGGUUACUUAAGCAGGAUGUGAAAUCCCCGGGCUCAACCCGGGAACUGCGUUCUGAACUGGGUGACUAGAGUGUGUCAGAGGGAGGUAGAAUUCCACGUGUAGCAGUGAAAUGCGUAGAGAUGUGGAGGAAUACCGAUGGCGAAGGCAGCCUCCUGGGAUAACACUGACGUUCAUGCCCGAAAGCGUGGGUAGCAAACAGG